GGAUUUGACAGGUCUGGAACACAUGCUAAUAAAUUGCUCAAAAAUGCUUCCUGCUGAUAUCACGCAGCUAAAUAAUAUUCCACCAACUCAGGAAUCCUACUAUGAUCCCAACCUGCCACCGGUCACUAAAAGUCUAGUAACAAACUGUAAACCAGUAACUGACAAAAUCCACAAAGCAUAUAAGGACAAAAACAAAUAUAGGUUUGAAAUCAUGGGAGAAGAAGAAAUCGCUUUUAAAAUGAUUCGUACCAACGUUUCUCAUGUGGUUGGCCAGUUGGAUGACAUAAGAAAAAACCCUAGUUGGAUCUGAAGGCUUUAUCAGGAAGUUUGUUUGCCUGAAUGACAACAUUGACCACAAUCAUAAAGAUGCUCAGACAGUGAAGGCUGUUCUCAGGGACUUCUAUGAAUCCAUGUUCCCCAUACCUUCCCAAUUUGAACUGCCAAGAGAGUAUCGAAACCGUUUCCUUCAUAUGCAUGAGCUGCAGGAAUGGAGGGCUUAUCGAGACAAAUUGAAGUUUUGGACCCAUUGUGUACUAGCAA
This 540-nucleotide long non-coding RNA is filed under the name Homo sapiens (human). RNAcentral's name for it is "HSALNT0194001". The record is from RNAcentral. Lineage: Eukaryota; Metazoa; Chordata; Mammalia; Primates; Hominidae.